CUCAAAGGAAUUGGCGGAGGCGCACCACCAGGAGUGGAGCCUGCGGCUUAAUUUGACUCAACACGGGGAAACUCACCAGGUCCAGACACAAUAAGGAUUGACAGAUUGAGAGCUCUUUCUUGAUUUUGUGGGUGGUGGUGCAUGGCCGUUCUUAGUUGGUGGAGUGAUUUGUCUGCUUAAUUGCGAUAACGAACGAGACCUUAACCUACUAAAUAGUGGUGCUAGCAUUUGCUGGUUGUCCGCUUCUUAGAGGGACUAUCGGUUUCAAGCCGAUGGAAGUUUGAGGCAAUAACAGGUCUGUGAUGCCCUUAGACGUUCUGGGCCGCACGCGCGCUACACUGACGGAGCCAGCGAGUCUAACCUUGGCCGAGAGGUCUUGGUAAUCUUGUGAAACUCCGUCGUGCUGGGGAUAGAGCAUUGUAAUUAUUGCUCUUCAACGAGGAAUUCCUAGUAAGCGCAAGUCAUCAGCUUGCGUUGAUUACGUCCCUGCCCCUUGCACACACCGCCCC
RNAcentral lists this ribosomal RNA (509 nucleotides) under Maudiozyma barnettii. Its description in RNAcentral is "SSU rRNA". It matches the Rfam family "Eukaryotic small subunit ribosomal RNA", at positions 1143 to 1675 of the family's 1831-position model. The record is from RNAcentral. Lineage: Eukaryota; Fungi; Ascomycota; Saccharomycetes; Saccharomycetales; Saccharomycetaceae.